Molecule: ribosomal RNA, 484 nt
Filed under: uncultured bacterium
Lineage: Bacteria
Description: partial 16S ribosomal RNA
Rfam family: Bacterial small subunit ribosomal RNA
Source: RNAcentral
AUUGAACGCUGGCGGCAGGCCUAACACAUGCAAGUCGAGCGGAGGAAGUGAGCUUGCUCCUGGAUUCAGCGGCGGACGGGUGAGUAAUGCCUAGGAAUCUGCCUGGUAGUGGGGGAUAACGUCCGGAAACGGGCGCUAAUACCGCAUACGUCCUGAGGGAGAAAGUGGGGGAUCUUCGGACCUCACGCUAUCAGAUGAGCCUAGGUCGGAUUAGCUAGUUGGUUGGGUAAAGGCCUACCAAGGCGACGAUCCGUAACUGGUUUGAGAGGAUAAUCAGUCAAACUGGAACUGGGAAACGGUCCAGCCUCCUACGGGAGGAAGCAGUGGGGAAUAUUGGACAAUGGGCAAAAGCCUGCUCCAGCCCUGCCGCGUGUGUGAAGAAGGUCUUCGGAUUGUAAAGCCCUUUAAGUUGGGAGGACGGGCAGUAAGUUAAUACCUUGAUGUUUUGACGUUACCAACAGAAUAAGCAACGGCUAACUUCGUG